AUGAACAGGCUCAAGUCCUAGCUAUGGUGCAGAGCAGUGUUGUAUGUCUGACAGUCCCCAGGGCCUGCCCCGCUUCCUUUUCCCCUGAGUCCCCCGUGACUCCCCCUCCCCACCAGGGCAAUGAAGGAAUGUAGGUGGAAUCCGCCCAGGCUGGGGCUCUACCAGGGAUAACAGAAUUCACAGCCUGAACUAGUGGCUCAGAAAGACAAAAGUGAGGAAGACAGGUGGGCGGUGGAGGAGGGUGUGAGGGGGGAGAGGAUCAAGGAAGCCGGAAGGAACAACUCAACAGCCUGACCUUCUUCAGCUGCAUGAAAAUAAUUCCAGAUUUGAAAAGAGCUUUGGCUCUGGAAACCAAGCCUCAGAAGUUUGGUGGUUUGGACAAAAUCACUGAAGAAAUUAAGAGAAAAAGAUGGAACUAAAAUUCAGGUGUUAUGACUUUCUCGUUAGUGAUUUUAUGAAAUUUUGCCACGAGUCUGUAUUUUGCUUUCAUAUAUUGGGAAAAUCUCUUUGUGGAAAAUAGUAUUUCAAGUAGAAAUAUGAUUGACACAAUAGUUCCAUUUGUAUAACUUAUUUAUAAGACCAGAAUCCCCCUCUCUGGAGACUUAGAAAGAAAGUUAUCUUUUGGGUAUGACUUAAAAGAAGGCCUCCCUAUCCUGAAGCAAGGGCAUGUCUAAAAUGUUUUUAAUCAUGACCCAUAAUCCUGGAAUUCUGUUCAUGGUGUCUUGUCUUCAUAAUGAUAAAGAAAACAGAAGAGAGCAUAGCACUCAGCUAUUCUUAUUAUCUCUAUUUACCCAGGCAAAGCAUUGACCUUCGACUGUUUCCCAUUCUUAUUGCCUCCACCAGUUUGUUGCAUAUUCUUAAUGUUGUUGCAUAAAUGAGUCUAAUUAAGAACAUAAGUCUCAGACUGCAGAAAAUCACUUAGCUGUUCUCUAUGAACACUGAGUUUAAAGAAAAUAGAACUAAAAUGCAGAGUAGUGUUACAGUAUCUCUCCUCUCUCUGUCUCUCUCUCUCUGUCUGUCUGUCUCUCUCUCGCUCUCUCUCUCUCUCUCUCACCCUCCCUCCAUCCCUCUACUUUUCUACCAUAAUGAUUCUCUUGAUUCAGUAUUCCUAACCAGAAUCUUGCCUGCUGGAUUUUCAUCUCAAUUCAUUCUUUUUCCAUAACCUUUUCCUAUGCCUUACAAAUAAUGUGAAACAGACAUCUUCUAAAAGUUACUUCUGCUUUGUGUAGUAAAUUAUUUCCAGAAGCAAAAUCUUCUCUUUUGUUCUGCAGGAUUUUCCCCCUCAGGUCUCAUGUUGGUCCAUCCAUCCAUCCAUUCAUCUUAAAUAACAGUUUAUCAAGAGCAGAUCUAUUCAGACCAAGUGUUAGCCAGCACAUAGGGAACAUGCUUUACACUUUGCACCCACCUCCCUUACUAUCCAAGCUAAAGGAUUGGGAGCUUGUUCAGUUUUCAGCAGAAUGCACAUGCUAGGCUUUCCAUAAAUGCAAAAUUUGUGGGUAUAUACUAUAGAUAUCAUCCUAUUCUCGAGGUAUAUACAGCUGAAAGGGGUUUUAAAAAGAAAGUCACUCCCUGUCUCUCUCUCUCUAGGAGAAUGAUGUAUUACGAAAAUCAUAAAACAAUUUGAAAAAGUGCAUAAUAAGCAAUUAGAUAUUAAAACAGAGAGUUACAGGCCUACAAGGCUAUGCACAUUUGGAGAAGGUUUGCAUUGAUCAAAGACAGCUCAUUAAAGAAUCAAGUUAGGGCUGGCCGAGUGGUACGUUGGUUAAGAGCUGGCCAGAGGGUCCCGGUUCAGAUCCC
Hipposideros armiger (great roundleaf bat) is the source of this 1797-nucleotide long non-coding RNA. RefSeq lists it as uncharacterized. The transcript is spliced from 3 exons. NCBI's taxonomy places the organism in Eukaryota, Metazoa, Chordata, Mammalia, Chiroptera, Hipposideridae. The record is from RefSeq and is a predicted model, not a curated record.